UAUAAGAUUGUAUUGUGUCC
RNAcentral lists this non-coding RNA (20 nucleotides) under Mus musculus (house mouse). Lineage: Eukaryota; Metazoa; Chordata; Mammalia; Rodentia; Muridae. The record is from RNAcentral.